UGAGGAAUUUUGCGCAAUGGCCGCAAGGCUGACGCGGCAACGCCGCGUGGGUGGUGAAGGCCUUCGGGUCGUAAAGCCCUGUCAGGUGGGAAGAAAGGCCUGGAGAGGAAAGGUUUCAGGUUUGACGGCACCACCAGAGGAAGCACCGGCUAACUCCGUGCCAGCAGCCGCGGUAAUACGGAGGGUGCGAGCGUUAUUCGGAAUUACUGGGCGUAAAGCGCGUGUAGGCGGGGGGACAAGUCUGAUGUGAAAGCCCUGGGCUUAACCUGGGAAGCGCAUUGGAAACUGUUUUUCUUGAGUACUGGAGAGGAAGGGGGAAUUCCCGGUGUAGAGGUGAAAUUCGUAGAGAUCGGGAGGAAUACCAGUGGCGUAGGCGCCCUUCUGGACGGUAACUGACGCUGAGACGCGAAAGCGUGGGGAGCAAACAG
RNAcentral lists this ribosomal RNA (428 nucleotides) under uncultured bacterium. RNAcentral describes it as "bacterial SSU rRNA". It matches the Rfam family "Bacterial small subunit ribosomal RNA", at positions 355 to 775 of the family's 1533-position model. The record is from RNAcentral.